RNAcentral lists this transfer RNA (74 nucleotides) under Halobacteriales archaeon. RNAcentral's name for it is "tRNA-Ile". It matches the Rfam family "tRNA". From Rfam's summary of the family: Transfer RNA (tRNA) molecules are approximately 80 nucleotides in length. Lineage: Archaea; Methanobacteriati; Methanobacteriota; Halobacteria; Halobacteriales. The record is from RNAcentral. RNAcentral also lists the same sequence under 2 other names.
GGGCCCUUAGCUUAGUCCGGUAUAGCACUCCGCUCAUAACGGAGCGGUCGUUGGUUCAAAUCCGACAGGGCCCA